Molecule: unclassified non-coding RNA, 322 nt
Filed under: fungal sp.
Lineage: Eukaryota; Fungi
Description: partial internal transcribed spacer region
Rfam family: Eukaryotic small subunit ribosomal RNA (bases 1-46)
Source: RNAcentral
AAGUCGUAACAAGGUUUCCGUAGGUGAACCUGCGGAAGGAUCAUUAACACUUUUUAUCCAAUAUCAAAACUAAACGUGAACUUUUUCCCCUCCCUAUAUCACAAAAAUUACACUCAAGUUUUUGAGUUUUUUUGAUAUAGGCUAACCUUUUAUUUUUUCAAACCCCUUUAAUUUUUUAUAAGUCUUUGUAAAAAAAGACUUGACUAACUAAAAAAUUUUACUUAAGAUGUCAACUUGUUGAUCUCUUAAUUAAUAUUUUUUUCUUUACGAAAUAAAUAUUAGUAUAUAAGAACAACUCUUAGCAAUGGAUAUCUUGGUUCUC